AUGCCCUGGUUUCUCUUCAUAACAAAUAAAUCUUUCACCUUUUAAUAAAGAUUUCCAUGGAGAGGAACAUUUAUGAGUUUAUAACUGAAUUUUUUGAUGUCCUGCUUAGGAAGGGCU
This 117-nucleotide small nuclear RNA is filed under the name Cebus imitator (Panamanian white-faced capuchin). RNAcentral describes it as "U5 spliceosomal RNA (ENSCCAG00000004541.1)". It matches the Rfam family "U5 spliceosomal RNA". Rfam says of the family: U5 RNA is a component of both types of known spliceosome. The precise function of this molecule is unknown, though it is known that the 5' loop is required for splice site selection and p220 binding, and that both the 3' stem-loop and the Sm site are important for Sm protein binding and cap methylation. Lineage: Eukaryota; Metazoa; Chordata; Mammalia; Primates; Cebidae. The record is from Rfam by way of RNAcentral.